GGACCCUUAGUUCAGUGGUAGAAUGCCGGAUUCCAAAAAUCCACUACGAUCAGUAGUUUGCUAUCCGUCGGUCGUCUGUUCGAUCCAGGCAGGGUUCA
This is a non-coding RNA of Cryptococcus sp. DSM 104549, 98 nucleotides long. NCBI's taxonomy places the organism in Eukaryota, Fungi, Basidiomycota, Tremellomycetes, Tremellales, Cryptococcaceae. The record is from the annotation of a GenBank genome assembly.